Molecule: non-coding RNA, 74 nt
Organism: Symsagittifera roscoffensis
Lineage: Eukaryota; Metazoa; Xenacoelomorpha; Acoela; Convolutidae
Source: the annotation of a RefSeq genome assembly
AGCCGCAUAGCUCAGUCGGUUAGAGCAUCAGGCUAAUAACGCGAAGGUCGACAGUUCGAGACUGUCUGUGGUCA